CGCAACCCCAGGUCAGGCGGGG
Molecule: ribosomal RNA, 22 nt
Filed under: Acacia adoxa
Lineage: Eukaryota; Viridiplantae; Streptophyta; Magnoliopsida; Fabales; Fabaceae
Description: partial large subunit ribosomal RNA
Source: RNAcentral